RNAcentral lists this long non-coding RNA (333 nucleotides) under Cyanistes caeruleus (blue tit). RNAcentral describes it as "lncRNA (ENSCCEG00000016241.1)". Lineage: Eukaryota; Metazoa; Chordata; Aves; Passeriformes; Paridae. The record is from RNAcentral.
AUGUUCCAGGUUUCAAUUAAAUAUCCAACAGAACAAAUAUGAAUGGAGCAAAGAUACUACAGACAGCUAGAGCUGAAAGAUGUGCAGAAACAAACUCUGUGCCUGAGAGACCUUCUCCAGGCACCAUCAGCUGAAGAAUCAAUGCCAGUGCAGGAUGUGACUAUCCACUGUAACCACGAGGAAAGUCAUCAGGAGAAAAUAAACGUGGCUUCAAGCUGCAGGUUCACAUCAAAAUCUGCAUUGGAUUCAGGUUUGCUGGCAAUAAAAAGGCAGACCCUUAAUUCAGUUCUGUCUUUAAGACUUAGAAUUUCACAGGUUGUUCUUCCUAAAUAG